GGUUAAGUCCCGCAACGAGCGCAACCCUUAUCCUUUGUUGCCAGCGAUUAGGUCGGGAACUCAAAGGAGACUGCCAGUGAUAAACUGGAGGAAGGUGGGGAUGACGUCAAGUCAUCAUGGCCCUUACGACCAGGGCUACACACGUGCUACAAUGGCGCAUACAAAGAGAAGCGACCUCGCGAGAGCAAGCGGACCUCAUAAAGUGCGUCGUAGUCCGGAUUGGAGUCUGCAACUCGACUCCAUGAAGUCGGAAUCGCUAGUAAUCGUGGAUCAGAAUGCCACGGUGAAUACGUUCCCGGGCCUUGUACACACCGCCCGUCACACCAUGGGAGUGGGUUGCAAAAGAAGUAGGUAGCUUAACCUUCGGGAGGGCGCUUACCACUUUGUGAUUCAUGACUGGGGUGAAGUCGUAACAAGGUAACCGUAGGGGAACCUGC
Molecule: ribosomal RNA, 437 nt
Filed under: Salmonella enterica
Lineage: Bacteria; Pseudomonadati; Pseudomonadota; Gammaproteobacteria; Enterobacterales; Enterobacteriaceae
Also listed under: 1 other name
Description: partial 16S ribosomal RNA
Rfam family: Bacterial small subunit ribosomal RNA
Source: RNAcentral